Molecule: ribosomal RNA, 424 nt
Filed under: Fusobacteriota bacterium
Lineage: Bacteria; Fusobacteriati; Fusobacteriota
Description: Fusobacteria bacterium partial 16S ribosomal RNA
Rfam family: Bacterial small subunit ribosomal RNA
Source: RNAcentral
UGAGGAAUAUUGGUCAAUGGGCGAGAGCCUGAACCAGCCAAGUAGCGUGCAGGAUGACGGCCCUAUGGGUUGUAAACUGCUUUUAUGUGGGGAUAAAGUGCGUGACGUGUCAUGCAUUGCAGGUACCACAUGAAUAAGGACCGGCUAAUUCCGUGCCAGCAGCCGCGGUAAUACGGAAGGUCCGGGCGUUAUCCGGAUUUAUUGGGUUUAAAGGGAGCGUAGGCUGUCUAUUAAGCGUGUUGUGAAAUUUACCGGCUCAACCGGUGGCUUGCAGCGCGAACUGGUCGACUUGAGUAUGCAGGAAGUAGGCGGAAUUCAUGGUGUAGCGGUGAAAUGCUUAGAUAUCAUGACGAACUCCGAUUGAGCAGGCAGCUUACUGUAGCAUAACUGACGCUGAUGCUCGAAAGGGCGGGUAUCAAACAGG